AGACAGACAGACGGACGGACAGACAGAGAGACAGACGGACGGACACCGGACAUUUGUAUACCAUAAUACAUCCCGUCAAAAUUUUGACGGGCGUAUAAAAAUUAUAUUUCACAAGAGUAUAAAACACAUAAAUUCUAUUAAAAAAGUUAUAAAAAAAAAUUAAAAAAAUACUUCAUUGUUAAAGGCCGUACAGUGCCCUAUAGUUGUAUAAUAGAUCCCCCAUGGUCUUUGGUAGAUACAUUGUCUCAUUGGCACAUACUCUCUAUAUAUGAACACAUGUGAUUCAUGAAACAAAGAUGUAAAUGUAAAAAGUAUACUAUCUAAUAAAGUUAAAGUGUAAAGUUAAAAAUAAUGUAAAAAUUGCUCAUGUAAAAAUUAUCAAAAAUAUAUGUAUAUAUUGUACAAAAGUAUAAAAUAUCAUAUGAAAAAUAAUUAAAAAAAAAAUAAUUGUCAAAGACCGUACAUAACUCUAAAGUUGUUUAAUAGCUCCCUCGUGGUCUUUGGUAGACAUACUGUCUCAUUAGCACACUCUCUCUCUCUCUGCAUAAAAACAUGUAACUCACAAACCAAACAAGUAAAUGUAAAAAAUAAUGUAUAGGAAUAUACUAUCUAAUUAAUUUAAAAGUUUAAAAAACAAAGAAGUAUACAAAAAAA
RNAcentral lists this long non-coding RNA (654 nucleotides) under Mytilus galloprovincialis (Mediterranean mussel). The record is from RNAcentral. Lineage: Eukaryota; Metazoa; Mollusca; Bivalvia; Mytilida; Mytilidae.